GGGUACUUAAAACUAGUAGCUAAGGUAUGGUUCUACUUUGCUUGAUAUAGCUUCAUGCCUAUCUCACAUAGUUCCACCGUCCUGAUGGAAAGAAUGAUUUUUUCAUAUGCAAUUAUAAUAGAAAGGUCUAUCUAUGUUAGGAAUAUUAUUCUCAAAGGAAUCCAAGAUUAUGCUAGGAAAAAAGCAGAAAGUGCGUACUUUCCAUCAUUGAUUACUUCACUGUGUUUGGGA
This 231-nucleotide long non-coding RNA is filed under the name Gossypium barbadense (sea-island cotton). Its description in RNAcentral is "long non-coding RNA (GBAR_LNC011319)". The record is from RNAcentral. Lineage: Eukaryota; Viridiplantae; Streptophyta; Magnoliopsida; Malvales; Malvaceae.